Molecule: long non-coding RNA, 2677 nt
Filed under: Volvox carteri
Lineage: Eukaryota; Viridiplantae; Chlorophyta; Chlorophyceae; Chlamydomonadales; Volvocaceae
Description: long non-coding RNA (VCAR_LNC000840)
Source: RNAcentral
CGGUGGUAGGUCGCGGAUCUCCCGAAUACGUGUAACGGCUAAUGUCUCCUUAGUCGUGUCUGCUAGGUCCCAGUGAGAUAGCGUCUCACCAACAGCUUAUGAGCCCCGGGUAACGGUUCCCGGCGGUUAAUAUCUGUAGUUGCUUUUUAGCUUGAGCAGGGAGGCUCGCUAGGCAACCGACAUGGGAAAAGGGUGUAACACCGUCCUCCUAGCGGACGGGUCUAACUACUCGCAGUGGCUAGGAGACUUCAGUGAUUUCCUCACUACAUCCAAGUUGAGGAGCUAUAUGACCAACCCGUCGCCUCCGGGCCGCAAUGCGCAAGACGCUCUGGAGGAAGAUGCCCAGGCGCUUGGCUACCUGCGUCUGUCCUGCGAACUGCCCAUAAAGCAGUUGCUAAGGAACUGCUUUACUGGCAGUUCGCUUUACUGACCGCGUCCUCGUCGACGGUAAGGUGACUGUUAGCAGCGACGUCACCUUCGACGAUGUCCUCCGCGGCCUGGCGUCUCAACGGGCGGGCACCCCCUUCGGCAUCAGCCCCGCCCGUCCUGGCAGCAGCGACCCCGUCGGCGGCUCUACACAGCCCGCCACACCGCCGCCUCCCGUGGAUGCCCUGCCCCCAGUAAACCCAGCGCCCGCCCUCCGCCCCAAUACUUGCAGUCAACGGCAACCGCUGCACCCGCCGCUGGCCCUGGUCAGCCCGGCCAACAACAGCAGCGGCGGCGGCGGAGAUUUGGGUAGUCCACCGCUGCUUAACAAAGCGUCGGGUAGCACCGAUUGUGCUGAGGCAGGCGACGGCUGUGCGGGCGGCGGAGGCAACAGCACGGUGCAGGAGCCGCGCAGUUAUGAGGAAGCGGUGGCGAGUCCGCAAGCUGACAAGUGGAAGACUUCGAUGGAUGACGAGAUCCUGUCGCAGCUUUCCAACAAGACAUGGGAGUUGGGCACGCCGCCACCCGGUGCACGCAUCCUGGACUGCCGCUGGGUUUACAAGAUCAAACAGGAGCCUGGCAGUGAGGUACGCUAUAAGUCGCGCUUGGUGGUGAAGGGCUUUGAACAGCGAGCGGGCAUAGACUAUGGAGAGCUGUUUGCGCCCACUACGCGUGCAGCCUCCCUGCGGGCACUUCUAGCUGUGGCAGCGGCCAGGGGUAUGACGGUCCAUCAGAUGGACGUCAAAACGGCUUUCUUGAACGGCGACCUGGCAGAGGAGCUGUGGAUGCGACAGCCACCAGGUUACAGCAAUGGCGACCCGACGCAGCUGUGCCGGCUGUUAAAGUCUGUUUACGGCCUCGAGCAAGCCCCGCGCUGCUGGUACGAGAAACUGGCGGCGGAGUUGGGCAAGCUAGGCUAUGGGCCGUCUAUGUCCGACCCCGCACUAUUCGUCAAGCGCGGGUCCGACGGCUCAAUUUAUGUGCUUGUGCACGUUGACGGCAUGCUGGUGGCGGCGGACAACUUGCAAUUGGUCACGGCCGCCAAAGCAGCCAUCACCGGUUGCUUCGCAGUGUGUGAUUUUGGAUAAACACGCUCAGCCUCGGCAACAACCCCAUCACGUCGGUGCGCUCCAAGCACAUCGAUGUGCACCAUCACAUCGUGCGCGAGAGGGUCGCGCGUGGUGAGGUGAAGCUCAGCUAUUGCACCACCGACGACAUGGUGGCUGACAUCCUAACCAAGGCACUGGGCGAGGUCAAGUUCGUGCGCUGCCGCACAGCGCUGGGCGUCACUUAGAUCGCCAGAGGAGGAGUGCUGAGGGCUUUGAGGAAUUGUUUUGAGCUAGGCUUUAGGGGGUGCUGAGGGUGCGUGAGCAGGCGCCCGAAUGGGCAGGUCAAUGCCUGAAGGGGCGCCGUAGGCAGUGCGUACGGUGCUGUACGACGCUGUUUUCCCUGUAUAUGUUUGUGCAGCAGCGCCAGACCGCAUAGCCAUCAGGCUGAAGGCUGGCAAGCUGCGUUUGUGUCUGCUGAGUGUUGAGCAGUCGGCCUGGACCGCGGACUUGUCGGCCGAACUAGCUCGUCGGUACUAGCCGUUUGUAGUCAGGCCCCAGUGCGACUCGAGGGGGCGUGUUGAUGCGAAUGAAUGACGUGUCGCCCCGUGGCCUGUUUAGGUAACUUGUCAGGUUGUCGUGAGUAACAGCUGUGGCUUGUUUAAGACUGCCCAUCUGUGAGCAACGGCUGGCAGGUUCUAGUGUACUGACAACUCGUCCAUCUGGAUAAGCUUUCCAAGCCUUUAUUGGUAAUAGUAUUUCUUGGUAAUAGUACCUCAGAUUCACACGUUUACGCCUAGGUAAAGGGGCUAUCGGUGGUAGGUCGCGGAUCUCCCGAAUACGUGUAACGGCUAAUGUCUCCUUAGUCGUGUCUGCUAGGUCCCAGUGAGAUAGCGUCUCACCAACAGCCAGCCCCACGUCAAGACGGCUGAGAUCCUUCCAACGGCCGCCGGGCCGCAGCUAACCCACCGGACAGACCGCCCAGUAGCUUUGCGGCCAAAUGCUCCAAGGUCCGAAGAGGCGCCGCAGUCGGGCCCAGGAGCACCUGCUGGCGCCCCUGCUGGCGCCCCUGCUCCCUGCCGCUGCUGCCUUCUUCUGAGGAUGCUCUUGUUGGUGGCUUUGCGCUUUUAGCUUUCGUUGUUGUCGGUGGUGGUGCUGGUGGUGCUAGUGGUGCUGGUGGUGCUGGUGGUGCUGGUUGCGAUGAG